ACCAAGGCGACGAUGCGUAGCCGACCUGAGAGGGUGAUCGGCCACAUUGGGACUGAGACACGGCCCAGACUCCUACGGGAGGCAGCAGUGGGGAAUCUUCCGCAAUGGGCGAAAGCCUGACGGAGCAACGCCGCGUGAGUGAUGACGGCCUUCGGGUUGUAAAACUCUGUCUUUGGGGACGAUAAUGACGGUACCCAAGGAGGAAGCCACGGCUAACUAC
RNAcentral lists this ribosomal RNA (220 nucleotides) under uncultured bacterium. RNAcentral describes it as "partial 16S ribosomal RNA". It matches the Rfam family "Bacterial small subunit ribosomal RNA", at positions 267 to 504 of the family's 1533-position model. The record is from RNAcentral.